RNAcentral lists this ribosomal RNA (406 nucleotides) under uncultured bacterium. Its description in RNAcentral is "partial 16S ribosomal RNA". It matches the Rfam family "Bacterial small subunit ribosomal RNA", at positions 29 to 526 of the family's 1533-position model. The record is from RNAcentral.
AUUGAACGCUGGCGGCAGGCCUAACACAUGCAAGUCGAGCGAGCGGCGGACGGGUGAGUAAUGUAUGGGGAUCUGCCUGAUAGAGGGGGAUAACUACUGGAAACGGUGGCUAAUACCGCAUACUAUCGGAUGAACCCAUAUGGGAUUAGCUAGUAGGUGGGGUAAAGGCUCACCUAGGCGACGGUCGCUAGCUGGUCUGAGAGGAUGAUCAGCCACACGGGGACGGGGACACGGCCAAGACUCCUACGGGAGGAAGCAGUGGGGAAUAUUGCACAAUGGGGGCAAGCCUGAUGCAGCCAUGCCGCGUGUAUGAAGAAGGCCUUAGGGUUGUAAAGUACUUUCAGCGGGGAGGCGUUACCCGAAGAAGAAGCAACGGCUAACUCCGUGCCAGCAGCCGCGGUAAUUC